AACACAUGACAUAAUAAAUUUACAUUCAGCAGAUUAAAUUAUUUUAGGCUGCUUAUUAGUAUUAAGAGUUAAUUAUUGAUCUAUUAUUAAUCUUAAAGGAAACGCCAUUAUCUUUGUUUACAUAGUAGUUUUUUCUGUAUUUUAAUUUAAAAGCGAAAAAUGAGUGUGAAAUAUCACAACUUAAAAAUCCUUAUAAUAUCUCUAUUAAAAAUUAAAAUAUUGAAAAAAAUCUGAUAGAUAGGACUGUGGUACGUCAAUACGCUCUUUUCUUUUUGUAUGAAAAUAGGUCAAUUCACUCUAAUAUUCAAACUAAAAGCACUAAAUUGCUUCUGCUAGAUACAAAUUUUUAUAUGGUACGUUUGUAAGACAAGAGAUAACAAAAGACGAACAUACUUCGUACAUGGGUGGGCUAUUGUUGUAGGUGAGAAGUUGGAAGGUAGUAGAGAAAACAAUUUAAAGUACCUAUAUUUGUUCGUAACGAUUAACUAUUGCUAACGUAAAAUCGAU
This is a non-coding RNA of Cinara cedri, 507 nucleotides long. NCBI's taxonomy places the organism in Eukaryota, Metazoa, Arthropoda, Insecta, Hemiptera, Aphididae. The record is from the annotation of a GenBank genome assembly.